AUGAGCACCAUGGCGAUGUCGGCGCUGAACCCGGACGCGCCCAUGUUCAUCCCGGCGGCGUUCAAGAAGGUGGAGGACUACUCGCCCGAGUGGUGGGAGCUGGUCAAAACCACCGCCUGGUUCCGCGACCACUGGUUCCGCCAGCACCAGCUCUACGAGGACCUCGCCGACGACGUCGACGACGUCGCCGCCCUCCUCCCCGACGACUCCGUCGACCUCCUCGACGCCGACGACCUCUUCUACUCCCCGCCGUCGCCCCAGCCCCAGCCCGACUUCUACCACUACAAACCAGCAGGUACGGUUCGGUACACCUCUCACCGUCUCCUCCUCGCCAGAGCAGCAGAGGUAGUAUGGCAGCAGCGGGAAGCUAACCGGGAUCGCUCUGAAUUUGCAGGGUUCGGCGGCGACAUGGACGCGGUGCUGAAGACGCUGAGCCUGAACUCGCCGAGGGGCGGUGGCCCGGCACCAGCCUGGGCGCCGAUGAGGCACGCCGAGAAGCCGGCGCAGCACGUCAGCCCCAGGGCCGGCGGCGGCGCCCGCCGCGCCAUCCACCAGCCUCGCUAG
RNAcentral lists this ribosomal RNA (564 nucleotides) under Triticum aestivum (bread wheat). Its description in RNAcentral is "partial small subunit ribosomal RNA". Lineage: Eukaryota; Viridiplantae; Streptophyta; Magnoliopsida; Poales; Poaceae. The record is from RNAcentral.